AAAGCUUCUUGUGAAAUGACACAAGUUGCAAGGGAGCCAACUUCCAUUUUUCUGUGUAAUAACUUUAUUGUCCACAACUGUGUCAGUAGGUUAGCUUAUUUCUAUAGCUUUGCAUCCUUUUGUGUUUGCCUUAAUAUUUAAGUCCUAC
Molecule: long non-coding RNA, 148 nt
Organism: Solanum verrucosum
Lineage: Eukaryota; Viridiplantae; Streptophyta; Magnoliopsida; Solanales; Solanaceae
Exons: 2
Source: RefSeq, a predicted model, not a curated record